UCUCACACAUAUGAUGAAUCAUGGCACAGGAUCGAAUGUCACAACUUUACUAUAUAAUAGGAAUUCUAUACAAAAUAAAUAAUUACAUAUAAGGAGACAACGGUCCAGCAACCCAAAGUUGACUGGGAGACGACGACCUAGACCUCUCACGAACACAUCACAUCAUCCUCCAAGCGCCUCAUCCAGCGGUACCUGUUCUUGACCUGUGGGGGGUGUGAGACAGCAAGAGUGAGCUCACAUACGUUCAUCGCUCAACAAGUUGUGGGGAAUAAUGUGCAUGAACUCGCCAAAGGUGGGAGCUCACGUGAAGUGUAAGGCUUACCAAAGAGGAUGGUUAGAGCUGAGCGUUGCUUUUAAAGUUGGUCAAAAUUUUAUUAGCAAUUACUAAGUAUAAGUAAAUACCAACCCAAUUAAGUAGUAGAACAAAAGUAACAACAUCACCUGCGAUGCAAUGCAUAUGACAAAUUGAAUUUAAGUUUCAUAAUUUAAUCAUCAGAGAGUCCUGAGCUGCUCAUGACCGUGAGCUCGGCUAGUAUACCAGUUUUACACUCUGCAGAGGUGGUACCCUUUACCCACAAGUCAUGUUACCCAUCUGCCAAGGGAUCGCGACUUCCCAUACACCUCUACCGAGGAGGCGAGGCAGGGUAACACUACGAGGCCUUUACAAAGUUCCACUAGCUUUAGAAAACCCGCUACAGUUUAUAGGAAGCUCCAAUGCAGGGUUCUUGCCUGACCGCCAUCGCAGCAAAAUCAACCAAGGACCUCCCUACACUGACCACUCCCCUACUGCCCUUGCCCCUUUCGGGUAAGGUAGUCCUCCACUAGCUUUCCUAAUUAAUCAGCCAAGGGCGUCCAUAAACCCUUGUGGUGGCACAUGUUUCUCAAGUUAAGCUCUAUGUUCCAAUUAACAUUAAUGAUCUUGACAUGAGCAUAAAUAGAAUAACAAAAUAACUGAAACAUAGAUAUGAUAAAUAAUUAUCCCAAAUCCAUAUAAAGCAAUAGCAAACUACCCAAGUGAUUCAGGGGUAAACAAGGUAAUGAGAUAAACAAUCUAGGGUAACCUAUUGGGUCCCAUCAAAAUUAACCUAUGCAUGAAUAAAUGAUAUUAAAGAACAUUAUUGGGUAACAAAAGUGAAUCAAGGGCACAACUUGCCUGGGACUUGAGAUUCCAGGUACCAGGAUGAUCUUCAGGUGACUCGUGACCUCACGCUAGUCGUAGCAAUACAAACAAACAGUGUAUAGACAAAAUUAACAUUACACCAAACAUAAGUACAAACUGAAUAAUAAUAAUCUACGCGUCGCUACGAGACUAACGCAACUUCAACGGAUCAAAUCGGAGUUAAAACGAAGCAGUUACGAAUUUCCUAAGGUUUUAUGUAUUUGAUACGAGAUUAAUUAAGAGAUAAAUUUUAAUACAGCUUUCAUGUCAAACCAGAGGUACUAUGUGAUAAACAAUAAUAUUAUAGAAUUAUAGGAAUUGGAAUGAAUCAAUUUGGACAUCAUAUGAAUUUUCUAUGAUUAAUACAAGUUCUAGCAUUUAGUUUUACACUAAAAAUCCAUUUCUAAUCUAUUUUCUCUGAUUUUCCAACUUUCUGGACUAGGCCUCAAUUACCCGAAAAGGCAGGGGCCUCGGGGUAACAUUUCUAAGACACAAGAAACAGUAGCCAUGGACUGCGGGUUCUAAUUUGCCUAAACCGAGGGGUUCCAGUGAAAUUGGGCCCGCGAAGGGGUAUCGUGAGAUUCUGGCCGUUCGAUCAGAAACUACAGGCUCCGAUUAGAUCGCAAUUUUCUCCAAGCGGUACACCUCGCUAGCCGCCGAAUCUCGCAUCGACGGUUCUGAUUCCCUGAAACACUCGUCGCCCCGAACUCUAAUCCCAGUCGCCCAACUAAGAUCCAAUGGUUACAAACAUCUCCCCUUUCCCUACCAUCCGAGACUGCUCACCUAGGAAUCAACGGCUAACACACCGUCUUCUCCACGGCGCUAUCCGCCGCUGCGCGCACCAGGCAGGCACAGCCCCACCCACGGCCGCAGACGCCCCCCACCGAUGCGCGCAGUAAUCACGCCACCACGUCAGACCUAGGUCGAGCGAUGGUGAUACCACGCCCCGCUACGCCGAGCCGAACGCCAGCCCAGAUUAAGUCUAGCCGCCAAGGUGAGCUACGCCAGGAAGAAGAAUAAGGCGAGAACGUGGGGGUGUUCCCUACCGAGGGAUUGCGCGACGCAGGAGACCACAGCCGAAGUCUUGCGGCCCGACGAUGCCGACGUGGAUCCACCACGGCGGCCGCAUGCUCUACCCCUGCUACGACGGCGACUCUAUUUGUCGAUGUGGAGGGUCACUGAUUGUCGCAUCCAAGGUAUGCGGCGGCCGUUCUUUUUAUAUCCCGAACGCGAGGCCGAGGACCCAGUCAAAUCCCACCGACCCGCCGAAAUCGCGGAUUCUGUUAGGCUUCGGUGCUCGUUUCAACGAGGAAGACGC
RNAcentral lists this long non-coding RNA (2477 nucleotides) under Zea mays. Its description in RNAcentral is "long non-coding RNA (ZMAY_LNC002605)". The record is from RNAcentral. Lineage: Eukaryota; Viridiplantae; Streptophyta; Magnoliopsida; Poales; Poaceae.